RNAcentral lists this ribosomal RNA (494 nucleotides) under Coriobacteriaceae bacterium M29. RNAcentral's name for it is "bacterial SSU rRNA". It matches the Rfam family "Bacterial small subunit ribosomal RNA", at positions 8 to 521 of the family's 1533-position model. The record is from RNAcentral. Lineage: Bacteria; Bacillati; Actinomycetota; Coriobacteriia; Coriobacteriales; Coriobacteriaceae.
AGAGUUUGAUCCUGGCUCAGGAUGAACGCUGGCGGCGCGCCUAACACAUGCAAGUCGAACGGCACCCACCUCCGGGUGGAAGCGAGUGGCGAACGGCUGAGUAACACGUGGAGAACCCGCCCCCCUCUCGGGGAUAGCCGCCGGAAACGGCGGGUAACACCCGAUGACCCCGCAGCGAGGCAUCUCGCCGCGGGCAAAACCCAGGUGGAGGGGGAUGGCUCCGCGGCCCAUCAGGUAGACGGCGGGGUGACGGCCCACCGUGCCGACAACGGGUAGCCGGGUUGAGAGACCGACCGGCCAGAUUGGGACUGAGACACGGCCCAGACUCCUACGGGAGGCAGCAGUGGGGAAUCUUGCGCAAUGGGGGAAACCCUGACGCAGCGACGCCGCGUGCGGGAUGGAGGCCUUCGGGUCGUAAACCGCUUUCAGCAGGGACGAGUCAAGACGGUACCUGCAGAAGAAGCCCCGGCUAACUACGUGCCAGCAGCCGCGGU